Transfer RNA from Aspergillus cristatus, 87 nucleotides. It matches the Rfam family "tRNA". Rfam says of the family: Transfer RNA (tRNA) molecules are approximately 80 nucleotides in length. Their secondary structure includes four short double-helical elements and three loops (D, anti-codon, and T loops). Further hydrogen bonds mediate the characteristic L-shaped molecular structure. tRNAs have two regions of fundamental functional importance: the anti-codon, which is responsible for specific mRNA codon recognition, and the 3' end, to which the tRNAs corresponding amino acid is attached (by aminoacyl-tRNA synthetases). tRNAs cope with the degeneracy of the genetic code in two manners: having more than one tRNA (with a specific anti-codon) for a particular amino acid; and 'wobble' base-pairing, i.e. permitting non-standard base-pairing at the 3rd anti-codon position. NCBI's taxonomy places the organism in Eukaryota, Fungi, Ascomycota, Eurotiomycetes, Eurotiales, Aspergillaceae. The record is from Rfam.
GCCGGGCUAGCUCAAUUGGUCAGAGCGUCAGACUUUUAAAUCACAAGAGAGAUCUGAAAGUUGCGGGUUCGAGUCCCGCGUUUGGCG